AUGCUCGUUUCGGUAACACAUAUACUAAAAUUGGAACGAUACAAGAAGAUUAGCAUGGCCCCUGUGCAAGAAUGGCAUGCAAAUUUGUGAAGCGUUCUAUAUUUUU
RNAcentral lists this small nuclear RNA (106 nucleotides) under Sus scrofa (pig). Lineage: Eukaryota; Metazoa; Chordata; Mammalia; Artiodactyla; Suidae. The record is from RNAcentral.